RNAcentral lists this long non-coding RNA (24995 nucleotides) under Zea mays. RNAcentral's name for it is "long non-coding RNA (ZMAY_LNC005200)". The record is from RNAcentral. Lineage: Eukaryota; Viridiplantae; Streptophyta; Magnoliopsida; Poales; Poaceae.
CUUAUUGAAAACUUGAGGUUCUUCGUGGGUAGGAAUAGAUCUUGAUUCUUAGCUACUAGAUCAACCACUGAAUAUCACAUAAACAAACAAGAAGAACAAACACCACUCAAUAACAUACAAUAUUCACCAUACGUAAAGCUAAAAGAAAGUCUAACGAAAAGAGCGUUCGCUUUUCAAAAACGUCGUAAGUAAUGGUUAUAACAAGAGGGUAUUCUUUUAAAAAAUGUGUAAUCUAUACUUUAUAAAACAAGACAUGAGGUUAAAAAAAUAUCUUAAUUAAAAUAUACAAAUAUUAGGUUCACCAAAUUAAUCUUUUAUAACACGUCAUAUGUUAUAUGUCUACGAUUAAGAUGAUAAAACACGUUAUAACAAUAUUAAACCUUUUAGAAAAAAUAUAGGUUAUAUAUCUAAGGUUAAUGAGUUAUGAAACACAUUAUUAGACAUUACUUUUAUAAAGAGCUUAUAAAUAGAUUAAACAACUUUUUAUGUGAAAAGAUCAUAAUUAUAUUAUUAAUCACCUAUUUAAGACGAGUUAGGUUAUGGGUCUUAAGUGGAUUUUUAUGCAAAAGAUAAUAAACAAAUAACUAUCUUUUAUUUUCAUUAGAAAACACAUAGCCUAUAUUAUUCUAUUUGAAGUCAAUAUUAAAUAACAUUUUAAGUUAUAAAGGAACUUAAACUCUUAUUACUUUAUUUUAUCCGUUAGGAAAAGCUAAGUGAUUUGUAUAUAAUGUGGACUAAAUUCUAUGAAAUCAUUAAUCAUGCAAUAAAUCUAGUUAAGAACAAAUUGACUAUAGGUUUGAUUAAUAAAAUAUGAUAAAGGAUAAUUAAUCUAUUAAUUAUCUUUAAUUCUAUUGUAGGAACAAAUGAUCUAGAUAAUUAAAAUGAAUACUAUAUUUAUUGGUAUAUUAUUAACUAUCAUUUUAGUUAUGGCAGUGUGAGCACUUAAUUAAGCAAUUAUAUCAUUAUUAGAAAAGUUAUAUGACAUAUUACUAUUUAGUACGGCUAUACUUAAACAUCUAUAACGAAUCUUAUUUAAUCAAAAUCAUGAUGUCUAUUAAAAGGGUCGUUUUACAGUUAGAAACAAAUUCUCUAAUUAUUUAAUAAGAAACCUAUAUUUACCAAUAUAACUAUCAAUUUCUUUAUUAGGAAAGCAUGAGUGCCUAAUUAAGUUAUUUUAAUAUUAUUAUAAAAUUCUACUAUUUCGGUUUUCUCCUUUCUUUUCUAAAUAGAAUUUAUACGUAUAACUAAAAAUUGUUUAUUUAAUUCUUCUAACAUUAAUAUACUAAGAAUUAAUUGUAAAUUACUAAAUGAGACUUUUAAUAACAUAAUCAUGGUUAUUAUGACAUAAAUAAAUAUCUUACUAAUUCUAAGUACUUAAGUGCCAUACUUAUAAAUACAUUUAUUAUGAAUAGUAAAAUAUAUAUUUUCAUUUGACCGGAAAUACGUGGCCUAGUAUUUCUUCUAUUUCUUCAUGCAAAUAAGUUUAUACUUAACAUACUACUUGUCGGGUACCAUAAUUAGGGGUACCCCAACACUCCUAAACUCGGUUGGUAAUCACCAUCAGCACAAGCUGCAGGAGCUGAUGGGCGCAAUUCAGGUCAAGGCUUCGUCUACUCAAGGGACACGAUCUCGCCUCGCCCGAGCCCAGCCUCGGGCGGGAACAGUAGUCCAGGCGAAUUCACGACUCGCCCGAGGGCCUCCUCAAGCAACGGGCGCACCCUCGACUCGCCCGAAGCCCAGCUCGGGCAGGCUUCGUUGUGAAGCAACCUUGGCCAAAUCGCCUCACCAACCGACCGUAUCGCAGGCGCAUUCAAUGCAAGGAUCGCCUGGCGCCUUAUCCUGACAUGCGUGCCUCAGUCGGCAAGGUCGAAGUGACCGCAGUCACUUCGCCCUCCCACUGACUGACCUGACAGGAAAACAGCGCCGCUCGCCCCUCUCCGACUGCUGUUCCACCCGCCAGGGUGAGGCUGACAACAGCUAAGUCCAGCCUCAGGCACAACAGGAAGCUCCGCCUCGCCCGACCUUGGGCCCCGGCCUCAGGAGGAGGUCUCCGCCUCGCUCGACCCUAGGGCUCGGCCCCCGCCUCGGCUUCGGAAGGUGGUCUCCGCCUAGCCCAACCCUAGGGCUCGGCCUCAACCUCGACCUCGGGAGGAAUCGCGUCCUCGCCCGACCCCGGCCUCGGCCUCAGGAGGAGUCUCUGCCUCGCCCGACCUUGGGCUCGGAUCGACCACGCCACAGGGGGUAGAUCAUUGCCCUACCCCUAGCUAGCUCAGGCUACGGGGGAACAAGACCGGUGUCCCAUCCAGGCUCGCCCCGGUAACAGGUAAUGAUGGUUCCCCGCGUGCGUCCAUGACGACGGCGGUUCUCAGCCCCCUACGAAAGCAAGGAGACGUCAGCAAGGUCCCAGCAGCCCCGACAGCUGUGCUUCUACAGGGCUCCAGUGCUCCUCCGACGGCCACGACACCGCAUAUACAGGGCUCUAGCACCUCUCCAACAACCACGUUAGCAUGUACAUAGGGCUCUGGCUCCUCUCUGCUGGACACGUUAGCAUAUUGCUACACCCCCAUUGUACACCUGGACCCUCUCCUUGCAUCUAUAAAAGGAAGGUCCAGGGCCCUCAUACGGGAGGGUGGUCGCGCGGGAGGACGGGCUGAUGAACCGGCUCACACUCUCCCUCUCUCUCCCUCGCGAACACUUGUAACCCCUACUGCAAGCGCACCCACUCCGGCGCAGGAUAACACGAGCCGCGGUUUCCCCCCCUUUGUGUUCCAUCUCGCGCCAACCCAUCUGGGUUGGGGCACGCAGCGACAAUUUUACUCGUCGGUCCAGGGACCCCCCGGGGUCGACACGCCGACAGUUGGCGCGCCAGGUAGGGGCCUGCUGCGUGUUGACGAACAACUUCCCGUUGAGUUCCAGAUGGGUAGUCCCCAGCAACCUCUUCAGCCCGGGACGCUGCUCCGUUUCGGGAGUCUCGAGUUCAUGUCCCUCGACGGAAGCUACGACAUGGUACUCCUUCCCCGCAGCGCGGCAGCGACAACGACGACCGUCAACCCACCCGGCGACGGUGGACUCGGCGACGUCUUCCCCUCAUGGCGGAAGAGCAGCAUCCGGGUUUGUCCCGUCGCCUUCCUCGCCGCAGGAGGAGGAGGCGGGGCAACCGUGGCCAAGCAGGAGGCGGCACCUCGUCGGCUGUCGAGCGAGUCGACGACGUUGGCACCCCAGCGAGGGACAUGUCGGGCGUUGCCCUCACGCCUGAGACGACGACGAGCGUCGUUUCCCCGCGGCACGCCAACCCCAAGCGGAUAGAUGAUGCCAGCACACUCGCGGAGGACUCGCUGGGCGUUAGCCUCAUACCUGAGAUAACGGUGCAUCCGUCCCCGACGCAACUUCGUCACCAUCCAUCGAUCGAGAGUGCCAUGCGAGACUUCAUCACCGCAUGUGACUACUGCCUCUUCGAUUGCUCCGAUGAUGGCCACAGCCUUGACGAUGAAGGUUGUGGCCCAAGUCGUGAAUGUUUCCACGUCGAUCUAGGGGGUCACGACGAAGGCAACCACCUUGGUAUGCCGGAGGACGAUGAUCCCCCUGGGCCUGCGCCUCGCGUUGACAUCCUGCGGGAGCUAGCUGUGGUCCCAGUCCCUGCGAGGGGUCAGGGCACACAGCUUGAGCAAAUCCGCGGGAUGCAGGCCAAGCUCGACGAGGAAGUAGGACAACUUGUGCAGCUCCGGCAAAACAUCGAGCAAGAGUGGGCAGGCCGAGCACUAGCUGGAGAGGCGCGUCAUCAGGCCUAGGACGUCCAGCGCCGUAUCACUGACGAUGCCAGGGCAAGGCUGCCCCCGACCUCCAGCGGGGUCGGCCAGAAUCUGGCUGCAGCGGCAAUGCUGCUCCGAGCGAUGCCGGAGCCAUCCACCACCGAAGGGCGGCGUAUCCAGGGAGAACUCAAGAAUCUCCUGGAGGAUGCCGCGGUCCGGCGGGCCGAGAGCUCUGCCUCCCGAAGGCAAGGGUGCCCUCCGGAGCAUCGCGCCGCGACUUCCCGAUUCAUGCGGGAAGCCUCGAUCCACACCGGGCGCACGCGGGACGCAACGCCUGCAGCCCCGGGUAGCCUCGGCAACGAGCACCAUUGCCGCGACCGUCGAGCAUGUCUCGACGAGAAGGUGCGCCGAGGCUACCACCCCAGGCGUGGGGGACGCUACGACAGUGGGGAGGAUCGGAGCCCCUCGCCCGAACCACCUGGUCCGCAAGCCUUCAGCCAGGCCAUACGACGGGCGCCGUUCCCGACCCAGUUCCGAGCCCCGACUACCAUCACUAAGUACUUGGGGGAAACGAGGCCGAAACUGUGGCUUGCGGACUACCGGCUGGCCUGCCAGCUAGGUGGAACGGACGAUGACAACCUCAUCAUCCGCAACCUCCCCCUGUUCCUCUCCGACGCUGCCCGAGCCUGGCUGGAGCAUCUGCCUCUUGCGCAGAUCUCCAACUGGGACGAUCUGGUCAAAGCCUUCGCUGGGAACUCUUGGGAUCUCCGAAGCUGCCGCCAGUAGCCAGGGGAAUCCCUGCGGGAGUACAUCCGGCGAUUUUUGAAGCAGCGCACCGAGCUGCCCAACAUCACCGACUCAGACAUCAUCGGGGCGUUCCUCGCCGGCACCACUUGCCGUGACCUAGUGAGAAAACUGGGUCGCAAGACUCCCACCAGGGCGAGCAAGUUGAUGGACAUCGCCACCAAGUUCGCCUCUGGUCAGGAGGCGGUCGAGGCCAUCUUCCGGAAGGACAAGCAGCGUCAGGGACGCCAGCAAGAAGACGUCCCCGAGGCGUCCGCCCAGCGUGGCACGAAGAAGAAAGGCAAGAAGUCGCAAACGAAACGCGACGCCGCCGACGCAGAUCUUGUCGCUGCCGCCGAGCACAGGAGCCUUCGGAAGCCUCCCGGAGGGGCCAACCUGUUCGACAAGAUGCUCAAGGAGUCGUGCCCCUAUCAUCAGGGUCCCGUCAAGCACACCCUUGAGGAAUGCGUCAUGCUUCGGCGUUAUUUCCAUAAGGCCGGGCCCCCGGCGGAAGGUGGCAAAGGCCAUGACAACGACACGAAGGAGGGCGACAAGGCAGAGGAGUUCCCCGAGGUCCACGACUGUUUCAUGAUCUACGGUGGGCGAGUGGCGAACGCCUCGGCUCGGCACCGCAAGCAGGAGCGCCGGGAGGUCUGCUCGGUAAAGGUGGCGGCGCCAGUCUAUCUAGACUGGUCCGACAAGCCCAUCACCUUCGACCAAGGCGACCACCCCGACUGCGUGCCGAGCCCAGGAAAGUACCCGCUCGUUGUCGACCCCAUCAUCGGCAACGUCAGGCUCACCAAGGUCCUCAUGGACGGAGGCAGCAGCCUCAACAUCAUCUACGCUGAGACCCUCGGGCUCUUGGAAAUCGAUCUGUCCACGAUCCGGGCCGGUGCGGCGCCCUUUCACGGGAUCAUCCCCGGGAAGCGCGUCCAGCCCCUUGGACAACUCGAUCUGCCUGUCUGCUUCGGGACUCCCUCCAACUUCCGAAAGGAAACCCUCACGUUCGAGGUGGUCGAGUUCCGAGGAACCUACCACGCGGUGCUGGGGAGACCGUGCUACGCCAAGUUCAUGGCCGUCCCCAACUACACCUACCUCAAGCUCAAGAUGCCCAGUCCCAACGGGGUCAUCACCGUCGGAUCCACGUACCGACACGCGUACGAAUGUGACGUGGAGUGCGUGGAGUACGCUGAGGCCCUCGCCGAGUCCGAGGCCCUCAUCGCCGACCUGGAGUGCCUUUCCAAGGAGGUGCCAGAUGUGAAGCGCCACGCCGGCAACUUUGAGCCAGCAGAGGCGGUUAAGUUCGUCCCUCUCGACCCCAGCAACGAUGCCUACAAGCAAGUACGGAUCGGCUUCGAGCUCGACCCCAAAUAGGAAGCAGUGCUCGUCGACUUUCUCCGCGCGAACGCCGAGGUUUUUGCGUGGAGUCCCUCGGAUAUGCCUGGCAUACCGAGGGAUGUCGCCGAGCACUCGCUGGAUAUCCGAGCUGGAGCUCGACCCGUGAAGCAGCCUCUGCGCCGUUUCGAUGAAGAAAAGCGCAGAGCCAUAGGCGAGGAGAUCCACAAGCUGAUGGCUGCAGGCAGUGGCGGAACUUUGCUCACGACAGGACUAGGGCCAUUCGAAAAAAAUUUAGCACAGACUAAUUGACAGACAAGAAUAAGUACCUAAUCGAUGAAGAAUUAUUGUAUUUGUUCCACUUAGCUUCUUUAUUCUGCAUCAACAAUCGAAUCAGACUGCAGACCUACAUAAAAAAUGAACACAAGUUAUAUAUAUAACAAUUUUAAGACCGUGUCAAACUUCAAUUAUUUAAUAAACUGAACAUACCAUUAACACUAGUAGCCUGAUGUUGUUUAGGCAACAUUUUCAUGCGGGACUUCAUUUCUUGAAAAUGGUAUAAAAUCUUAUCAUUUGGAAUACUUGAAAAAAUGUCUCGUUCAAUAUAUCAUACCAUCCUAUGAUUGAGCCAGUCACUCCCCGUCUUAUUCCUCAAAUCAGUCUUUACAAUUUUCAUCGCUGAGAAAGCUCUUUCAACUGUGGCAGUAGUAACCGGCAAAAUCAAAGCCAGCUCAACAAGACGAUAGACCAAAGGAAAUGUUGUAUGUCUAUCAGGCUGCACCAUCUUUAUAGCAAGAUCUCCAAGGUCAUUGCAACAUGUAAAACUUGCAUCCGCCCUUGCAUCAUUAACAAACAUCUCAAGUUGGUUGCGAAGGACAAUGCAAUCAUAUUGGGUGAAGUCAACAACAUAAAUUUGAGCAAGUUCUAUUAAUUUAUCUUCAUCAAAGUUUGCAAAAGAAUUCCGUGGGUCUAAACAAGCAAUGCAUCUCAAUAGUUGAGUGGACCUUUCAACAAAACGAUUAUUUAAUUCCACAAUUAUUUGGUCAUGGAAAACAUUAAAUAUUUCAUUUUUGAAGUGAUGAAAAUAUGUUACCAACUAUCCACCACGACCUCUUGAGCGACCUCGAACAGUUAAUGUAUCAUCCAUCUUUGGCACAAUGAUGUGAUGUAGAAGACAAAAGUUUUCUACCUCUACAAAUAACUCGUCCCAACCAUUCUCCCGUAUGUCAUUCAUUUUCUGCAGUGUUGUCCCAAUCAACCCUAUAGCACGAACAAUAUUUUGAUCCUUCUUUUGCAAACACUGUGACAAAUCAUUAGUUUUGCCCAAUAGUCUGAUCAUAAGAUGCAGUACAAGAACAAACUCAAAACUCUCCAUUUGUUUUAACAAUCCAGCUGCUGUGUAUUUCUUUUCCCCACUAGAGGCAUCAUCGGAUACAAUCUCUAACACCUCUAGAAUUGCAUCCCACAUGUGAAGAAUACGACAUAAGGUCUUAUGAUGUGAACCCCAUCGAGUAUCCCCGGGUCGCACAAGGUUGGAUUCUCAUCUAAUAUUCUUCUUUGCAGUCCAUGAAAUUCUCCCCUCAUAUUUGAUGCCCCAUCAUACCCUUGUCCAUGCAAUCUGGAUAUUGACAACCCAUGAAAAGCAAGCAUAGAAUCCAAAGCUUGCUUUAGAGAAUACGAUGUCGUGUCAGCAACCUCUUCAAUACCAAGAAAUCUUUCAAUAACUUGACCUCGUGCAUUAACAUACCUCAAUAUAACAGCCAUUUGUUCCUUUAUAGAUGCAUCUCGGGCCUCAUCAACAAGAACUGAAAAGUUUCUACCUCCAAUAUCUUCAAUAAUAGCUUUGCUGGUUAAAUCAGCACAAGCUUUGCACAAGUCUUUUUGAAUUGACGGUGAAGUCAUUUAAUUAGUACGGAGCAAAUGUGCAACAUUUUUAUCCUUGCUCUUAUACCAUUCUAUCAUCUCUAAAAAAAUUCCCUUGUUGCUCGAGGAAGAGGACUCAUCAUGUCCGCGAAAUGCAAGAGCCUGAAGCAAAAGAAAUCUGAUAACUUCAAGUAUAACAAUCAUACGACUUUUAUAUUCAUUGUCCACCUUAUUGACACCAGAUGUCAUAGCAUAUGGCACACUUUGCCUCUGAUUUUUGUAAUCUUCAUAAUGUCUUCUAGCAUUAUUAUGAGCAACACCUUUAUCGUGUCCCUCAAUUAAUUUGCGACCAUCCUUCCAUCCACGGAACCCAACAUUUGUGAAGGAAUCAACACCAUAAUUUUCAGCUCUUGGUUGCUUAAAGAGGUAGCAAUAAAAACAAAAGGCUGCAUCCUUGGCAAUACUGUACUCCAACCAUGCAUGAUUAUUAAACCAAUCUGUCUGAAAUCGUCGAUUGCGCCCACAUAUUAUUCUUUGUGGAUAACUAUGACCUUUUGGUUGACAUGGACCCAUCAAAAUAUGCUCUCUUUUUAUAGCAUCCCUAAUAUUUGGAUCCAAAUCCUCAAUUGGAACUCAAAGGCCAGAAUCAGCUAUAACUCCAUUCUGAUUAGGUACAACACUAGGAAUAGUUUGCUGCACAUUACUAGGUUGAGCUUCAGUUUCUACCGUCUCUACUACCGGUUCCAAAUUUAUUCCAUGAGGAGGUUGACUGGAUUGUAUUAUAGGAGUGAUCGGUUGAGUAAAAUAUGAUGCUAUUGUUCUACUUCUCUUCAUUUUCUACAACUACAAUAAAUAAAUAAAAUGAGUGUAGAAUUGAGAGACAAUAAAAUAAACUAACUUUACUUAAUCUGUUGAACCUGACCUGAAGGGUGUGCUGCGUGUGCAGUGCAGCAAUAGCCAGACGCAGGAAGCAGGAAGCAGACGCCAGACGCAGCAGGCUGGCAGCUUCGUCGUUUGCUUUACGGCGGCGUCGCCGGCGGACGGAAACUAAUCGCGAUCAACUGGCAUGGGGAAGGGCAAACGACGGUACGGACGCACGCUAUAGAAUAAUGGGCCGAAAUAAUUAAGAAGGGUAUUAAUAUAUUUUUCCUCACGAGUAGGGCCAUGGCCCCAGCGGCCCAUAACAGAGAUCCGCCUCUGGCUGCAGGGUUCAUCAAAGAGGUAUUCCAUCCGGAAUGGUUAGCCAACCCUGUGCUUGUGAAAAAGAAAGGUGGGAAAUGGAGGAUGUGUGUAGACUACACUGGUCUAAACAAAGCAUGUCCAAAAAUUCCCUACCCUCUGCCUCGCAUCGAUCAAAUUGUGGAUUCCACUGCUGGGUGCGAAACCCUGUCAUUCCUCGAUGCCUACUCAGGGUAUCACCAAAUCAAGAUGAAAGAGUCCGACCAGCUCACAACUUCUUUCAUCACACCUUUUGGCAUGUACUGCUAUAUUACUAUGCCAUUUGGUUUGAGGAAUGCAGGUGCGACAUACCAAAGGUGCAUGAACCACGUGUUCGGAGAGCACAUCGGCCGAACAGUCGAGGCUUACGUCGAUGACAUCGUAGUCAAGACGAGGAAAGCCUCUGACCUCCUCUCCGACCUUGAAACGACAUUCAAGUGUCUGAGAGUGAAGGGCGUGAAACUCAAUCCCGAGAAGUGUGUCUUCGGAGUCUCCCGAGGCAUGCUCCUGGGGUUCAUCAUCUCCGAGCAGGGCAUCGAGGCCAACACGGAGAAAAUCACGGCCAUCACCAACAUGGGGCCUAUCAAAGACUUGAAAGGAGUACAAAGGGUCAUGGGAUGCCUUGCGGCUUUGAGCCGCUUCAUCUCGCGCCUCGGCGAAAAAGGCCUACCCUUGUACCGCCUCUUAAGGAAGACCGAGCGCUUCACUUGGACCCCCGAGGCCGAGGAAGCCCUCGGAAACUUAAAGGCGCUCCUUUCAAACGCGCCCGUCUUGGUGCCCCCGCUGCAGGAGAAGCCCUCUUAAUCUACGUAGCCGCAACCACUCAGGUGGUGAGCGCCGCGAUCGUAGUCGAGAGACGAGAAGAGGGGCAUGCACUGCUCGUCCAGAGGCCGGUCUACUUCAUCAGUGAAGUGCUGUCCGAGACUAAGAUCCGCUACCCGCAAAUUCAGAAGCUACUGUACGCGGUAAUUCUGACGCGCGAAAGUUGCGACACUACUUCGAGUCUCAUCCGGUGACUGUGGUGUCAUCCUUCCCCCUGGGGAGAUCAUCCAGUGCCGAGAGGCCUCAGGUAGGAUAGCAAAGUGGGCGGUGGAGAUCAUGGGCAAGACAAUCUCGUUCGCUCCUCGGAAGGCCAUCAAGUCCCAAGUCUUGGCAGACUUCGUGGCUGAAUGGGUCGACACCCAGCUACCAACAGCUCCGAUCCAACCGGAACUCUAGACCAUAUACUUCGAUGGGUCGCUGAUGAAAACAGGAGCAGGUGCGGGCCUGCUCUUCAUCUCACCCCUCGGGAAGCACCUCCGCUACGUGCUGUGCCUCCAUUUCCCGGCGUCAAACAACGUGGCCGAGUACGAGGCUCUGGUUAACGGGUUGCGCAUCGCCAUCGAGCUAGGGGUUCGGCGCCUCGACGCUCGUGGCGACUCGCAACUUGUCAUUGACCAAGUCAUGAAGAACUCCCACUGCCGCGACCGGAAGAUGGAGGCCUACUGUGACGAGGUUCGGCGCCUGGAAGACAAGUUCUACGGACUCGAGCUCAACCACGUCGCCUGACGGUACAACAAGACUGCGGAUGAGCUGGCUAAAAUAGCCUCGGGGCGGACAACGGUUCCCCCGGACGUCUUCUCCAGAGACAUACAUCAACCCUCCGUCAAGACCGACGACACGCCCGAGCCCGAGGAGGCCUCGGCCCAGCCCGAGGCACCCUCAGCCGCCGAGGGUGAGGCACUGCGUGUCGAGGGAGAGCGGAAUGGGGUCACGCCUAAUCGAAACUGGCAGACCCCGUACCUGCAAUAUCUCCACCGAGGAGAGCUACCCCUCGACAAAGCCGAAGCUCGGCGACUGGCGCGGCGCGCCAAGUCGUUCGUCUUACUGGGUGAUGAAAAGGAAGUCUACCACCGCAGCCCCUCAGGCAUUCUCCAACGAUGCAUAUCCAUCACCGAAGGGCAGGAGCUAUUGCAAGAGAUACACUCGGGGGCUUGCGGUCACCAUGCAGCACCUCGAGCCCUCGUCGGGAACGCCUUCCGACAAGGUUUCUACUGGCCGACCGCGGUGGCCGAUGCCACUAGGAUUGUACGCUCCUGCCAAGGGUGUCAAUUCUACGCAAGACAGACGCACCUGCCCGCUCAGGCCCUGCAGACAAUACCCAUCACCUGGCCAUUUGCUGUAUGGGGUCUGGACCUCGUCGGUCCCUUGCAGAAGGCACCCGGGGGCUUCUCGCACCUGCUGGUCGCCAUCGACAAAUUCUCCAAGUGGGUCGAGGUCCGACCCCUAACGAGCAUCAGGUCCGAGCAGGCGGUGGUGUUCUUCACCAACAUCAUCCAUCGCUUUGGGGUCUUGAACUCCAUCAUCACUGACAACGGCACCCAGUUCACUGGGAAGAAGUUCCUGGACUUCUACGAGGACCACCACAUCCGUGUGGACUGGGAUGCCGUGGCUCACCCCAUGAUGAAUGGGCAGGUGGAGCGUGCCAACGGUAUGCUUCUGCAGGGACUUAAACCGAGGAUCUACAACGACCUCAACAAGUUUGGCAAGCGGUGGAUGAAGAAAUUACCCUCGGUGGUAUGGAGUCUAAGGACGACGCCAAGCCGGGCCACGAGUUUCUCGCCCUUCUUUCUAGUAUAUGGGGCCGAGGCUAUCUUGCCCACAGACUUAGAAUACGGUUCCCCGAGGACAAGGGCGUACGACGACCAAAGCAACCAGACCAGCCGAGAAGACUCGCUGGACCAGCUGGAAGAGGCUCAGGACAUGGCCUUACUACACUCGGCGCGGUAUCAGCAGUCUCUGCGACGCUACCACGCCCGAGGGGUUCGGCCUCGAGACUUCCAGGUGGGAGACUUGGUACUUCGACUGCGGCAGGACGCCCGAGGGCGCCACAAGCUUACUCCCCCCUAGGAAGGGCCGUUCAUCAUCGCUAAGAUCUUGAAGCCCGGAACAUACAAGCUGGCCAACGAUCAAGGCGAGGUCUACAGCAACGCUUGGAACAUCCGACAGCUACGUCACUUUUACCCUUAAGAUGUUUUCAAGUCCUUCAUAUACCUCGUUUUCUAUACAUACACAAAUAAAGUCUAACCAUCAAGGAAGGGUCAGCCUUGCCUCGGCAACGCCCGACCCUCCCUUAGGGUCUAGAAGGGGGGGACCCCCUCUGCGUCAAAAUUUUCCUCGGAAAAAGUCUUUCUGCCAGAACAUCUUUCGCGCUUUUCGACUGCUUCGAUAGCGGGAUCCUGAAAACGACGGAGUACACGUAAGCGGCAAGGCCGACCGAGCCGAGGGCCUCCUACACCUCCGGGAUACGGAUACCUCACUCAUCACCUUCUGCGAUAAGUAACUCACGCUCGGAUAAGCGAUUCUGCUGCCGAACAAGUCUUAACGCUCGAAAUUUUUUCUGCCAGAACGAUUUUCGUGCCUUCUCGACUAUAUCGAUAACAGAAUCCUACGAACGAGUAAGAGUGCACAUAAGCGGCGAGGCCGACCGAGCCGAGGGACUCCUACGCCUCCGGGAUACGGAUACCUCACUCAUCACCUUCCGUGAAAAGUAACUCUCGCUCGGAUAAACGAUUCUGCUACCGAUGAACAAGUCCUGAUACUCAAACAAGAGGAAAGGAAAUGCAGCUUUACAACACGACAAUAAUAUGUUUGGGCCUCGGCGGCCACAAAAAACAUACGCACACUACAGACAAACUCUCCCUGCAGGUUCAGACAUCAACAGAGGGAGCAGCAGCACCCUCGGCAUCGUCUCCACCUUCGGCGGAAUCUGGCCCGGCCUCGGAUGGCGACACGGGCGGAAGGAUCUCCACCUCGAAGGAGGACGCCAGCACCAAGCUCGGGCCAUCAUAGCCAAGGUCUCCACAAGGGUCCCGGCCCGGGCAAACACCUCGACCGGUCGCUCCGUAGCCUCAGCCAGCUGUCCCCCGAGGACAUCAGCCUGGCUCACGGCCUCGGCAGCGUGACUCCGGGGUUGGUCCCGCUAGCGGACGACCUGGCCAAGCUCCAGCCGCCGCCGCUGCACCUCCUCGGCCAAGGAGGCCACGUGCUCCCGGGCCGACGAAGCUUCUUCUCGAGCCGACUCCACCUUUGUCCACGCUGACACUGCUGCCUCCGGCUCUGGCUCAUCGCAGAGCAGCCGAGGGUUCUAUAACUGAGCAAGACAAGCCUUGGGUGGCAAGGCUGACCGAGCCGAGGGACUCCUAUGCCUCCGGGAUACAGAUAACUCACUCGUCACCUUCCGCACAGGGCAACUCACACUCGGUUAAGCGGUUCAGCUAGCCGACAGGCGAGUCCUAGUGCUCGAAAUGAGGAAGAAACACGGUAUUACACUCAAAUACCUAGAUGUUCAGGCCUUGACAGCCACAAUGAACAAACACCGGCACUCAAGGUGCCAUUACAAACGGAACUCCGGUUCCACUCCCGCGGGUAUGAACAACCUCCACAUCGGAGGGCCUGCGGGACGACAAACUCCAGGUGGCUCGCCGCCGCCGACUCAGGCGGCUAAACAGCAGCAGCGAUGACCUUAGGGCAAAUGCUGUUGCAGAAAGGCCCUCACUCACAUCCCCACACGAGGGGCGAGGACAAGCCAUCAAAGCCAAAGAGCCGAAGGUCUAUCCGCGGGUGGCGCCGACGGUCUCGUCGGCGGAGAAACCUCCUCUGGCGGCCACCACCUCCAGCACCGACGACGGCGGCCACCUGCGCGCCGGCGCUACGCCAACGAAAUGGCGGCCGCCCCAGCCUGCACCGGCAGAUCCCCACUCAAGUCCUCGCGGACGGGCAGGCACCGACCUCUGCACGGAGGCGUCAUGCCGGAGCGAGGACAAGACAAUCCAAGAACACGAACGUCGCCCUAGCGGCGUGUGACGUCUUGGACGGUCCCCCGGUGUGCACAGUGCAACAACCGCCCGUACGGUGGGCGGACAACCACGCUCUGCCCCAGCGGUGGGAGGUGGCACCAGAAGUAGCGCCAGAUCCAGCUGAGCCAGCGAGCCAGGCAUGCUGGAGCUGACGACGCUUGCGGCCGGCCGGCCCCGCGUUGUCGAAGUCCGCCCCCUCCGCUAGGCCGGUGAGCGCCCUCUCCCCUGAAUGCUGAAGGAAGAGGUGGCUCGCCGGCCCAUGCGGGAAGUAGAACUCCGGCUCAGCUCGCCCCCCGCCAUAGCAAGGAUGAUGAAGAUCCUUGAAGCUGAGGGCGGGGCAAAGGCCGCAGCCCGGCUUGCUUCUCCCCACCAUCGAACUGGUGGUCACCAUCCUGGGUGACCAUUGGUGAGGGAAUGCAGCCGGGCUGCCUGAUAAAAAUCCUUGAAGCCGAGCGAUGGCUGAAGGGUGCCCACCUCCGUGAGGUUGCGCUCCUCCAACAACAAGACGAAGGCAACGCGAGCGCUUCCCAUCUGGGGGCUCGGAAGGUGGAAGGACGCGAUGCAUGAGGGGAGUGCGAAGGCAUGGCUACCACCCGGGGGGUCGAUCCCUUUUUAAAGGUGGCUCUCCCCACUCGCGUCCUCAAGCGUCGCGAACUAAGUCUUCACCGACGUGCUCCAGGGUCCUCCCCCUAUGACACGGGGGCUGGGUCCCACACGUCAUGCAAGUUGGCCCGGAACAGAAGAAGCCAAACUGCCGCGCGCGGAGCGUGUAACCGCCCCGCGGUUACAAGCACUCCUCUAUCCUCGCCGAAAUCAGCAGUUGAAAGGGCGGACCGCCAUGCAGGUGGCAUGCAACCGCACCGCGGAGGCGCACCCCUUCGACUUCGACGCAUCCAGCAUGGAGGCCCAGGCCCACACAUCAUGUAACUGGCGCGCCGGUCACUACGUGCGAGAAACUGCACCGCCACUUGCGCCAAUGUCGCGCCUUCUCGACUGCGGAACCAGUGCCGCGACUCGAGGCAACCCUGCGCAUGGCCCAACAGUGCCAAUCGAGCACAUCGGUCAUGGGUCAGUCAGCCGCGGGAGGAGGCGCGACGGUCGAUAUGGCCAAAAGUGGGCCGACAGUAAUGGCGGCAGCAGGCGAGCGGAAGCAGCAGUCAAAUCGCCUGCAGGCUCACGUCCCGUCCUGGAGCAGCAGGGGAGCCCUCUCCCAUGGCGUGAAGACGACGCGCCUGUGUUCCAUCCCUCGAACGGCUCACGCAACGACCGCCCCGCGAACCACCCGUCCCGUCGCAUUAACUCCACGGAAGGGCAAUCGACACCUUUGGCAGGCGAAGCGGGCGUCGUUUCAUCUCCGCCAUGAUGACCGCGUCAAAAAAGGUGCGCCACACCGUUUAAAUUCAUAUCCUUUUCCUCUUCCCCUUUCUCUCUCUUGCUACAGGGACCGGGAAAGGGGAUAUUUCGAAAGGGAUCCUUCUCCGCGAAGGAAGCGGGCCCCGAGCCCUCCUACUGAUCAGGGGUUCGAAGGCUGGCCCCUCGGAAGGGUUCGACAGCCGCCUCAGAGCACUCGGGCUUCAGGCUCAUUACUGAUCAGGGGUUCGAAGGCUGGCCCCUCGGAAGGGUUCGACAGCCGCCUCAGAGCACUCGGGCUCCGCGCCCACUACUGAUCAGGGGUUCGAAGGCUAGCCCCUCGGAAGGGUUCGACAGCCGCCCUAGAGCACGCAGAGCGAGGGAUGACUCUGGGUACGUCCGAUACAUGGCUGAGGCUCGGGCUACGCUCCCGAGGUACCCUAGGACAUUUCUGAGACCAACAGGAGCGAUUUUGUAACGGAAUCCCAUUAGAGGGAGGCAUCGAUCCCUCGGACCCAAUCGAAUGGGACCGGGUCCGGCAAAUCACCUGCAGGUACUUUUGGAGCGAGCCUCUGGGCCACUAGCCGACCCUUAUCGAACGGGGCACAGGCGUCCACUCGGAUCACCCGUCAGCAACUCACUGGAGACACCAUGUUCGGCGCCCUCCGAGGGCAACAUGGCGCUUCCCCCCCUUCCUCCUUGUAGAAAGGCGACAAAGGGGCGUAUGAUAAAAGUCGAGUCAGUCCUCGAUCGUCCUCUCUCUCCAUGCAGAGGCUCGGGGGCUGCUCUCGCAAACCCGGCUACGGCCAAAUCGUUGACAGCGUCAACAAACCAGCCUGAAAAUUCGGAACCUAACCAUGCACCCGGGCUAUGAUCAGAUCGCAUGAGGGAACAACCAGACCGGCCGAGGCAUCACGAAAGGCAUUAAGACCUCAGAGGAGUGAAAGGGAAAUAGGCUUACACCUUUUCCUAAUUGAUUUUGGUGGUUGAAUUGACCAACACAAAUAAUUGGACUAACUGGUUUGCUCUAGAUUAUAUGUUCUAUAGGUGCCAAAGGUUCAUCUACAACUAUACUAAAUCGACUGUCCGGAAUACCGUAGAUUAUUCCGGACAGGAAAAGCUUUUUGGAAAAUCAGGCCAAGCGCGGACCGUCCGGGCCUUUGCGGCGGACCGUCCGCGACACCUAAAUAACCCUCGGACAGAACCAAUGCAAAAACAUGUGUCUCUAUUGCGGACCGUCCGAUGGAAGAGCAAGCACCAUCCGAGACCUCGCGCGGACCGUCCGGGCUCAGGCGCGGACCGUCCGGGCUCAGGCGCGGACCGUCCGGUAGGUGAGGAACCAAAAAACCCGAAGGUAACGGGUUCGACCAAAUGAAUUAUAGCGUCCUCGCGGACCGUCCGGGGUGCACGACCGGACCGUCCGCGACUGGCUUUAUCUGACAUCUGACGACGCAUUAAAUGCAAUAUAGCCGUUGAUAUAGCCGUUACUGCUGACCGUUGCGUUUUCAGCCGUUGAUCUACAGGGGCGGACCGUCCGGACCAGGCGGGCGGACCGUCCGCGGUCGGCAGAAAGGAGCAACGGCUAGGAAGUGGUUGGUGGCUAUAAAUACAACCCCAACCACCUCCAUUCAUAACACCCAAGCAUUCCAACCUUCAACAUUCAAUACAAGAGCUAGCAUUCCAUUCCAAGACACAAUCAAAGCCUCCAAUCUCUCCAAGUUCCACAAUUGAGACAUGUGAUCAUUAGUGAUUAGUGACUUGAGAGAGAGAGAGUGAUCCGUGUGUUAUUUGUCGCUCUUGUCGCUUGGCUUUUGCAAUCGUGCUUUCUUCCUUCCCAUUCUUAUUCUCAAGGCACUUGUAAUCAAAGCAAGAGACACUAAGUUUGUAGUGGUCCUUGUGGGGUCUAAGUGACCCGUUUGAUUAAGGAGAAAGCUCACUCGGUCUAAGUGACCGUUUGAGAGAGGGAAAGGGUUGAAAGAGACCCGGUCUUUGUGACCACCUCAACGGGGAUUAGAUUUGCAAGAACUGAACCUCGGUAAAACAAAUCAUCGUGUCUCACUCUUUAUUUGCUCACAAUUUGUUUUUAGCCCUCUCUCAUGGACUCGUUUAUAUUUCUAACGCUAACCCGGCUUGUAGUUGUGCUUAAGUUUAUAAAUUUCAGAUUUGCCCUAUUCACCCCCCUCUAGGCGACUUUCAAUUGGUAUCGGAGCCCGGUGCUUCAUUAGAGCUUAACCGCUCGAAGUGAUGUCGGGAGAUCACGCCAAGAAGGAGAUGAUGACCGGCGAGAAGCCCGCUACAAGCCAUGGGAAGGCUCCAUCCGGGGAGUCCGCCAACAAAGUGAAGGGAUCCCCUUCACACAACAAGUCGGGUCGGAGCGGUGACAAGAAGAAGAAGAUGAGGAAGGUGGUCUACUACGAGACCGACUCUUCGUCGCCAUCCACCUCCGGCUCCGACACGCCGUCCGUAACUUCUAAGCGCCAUGAGCGUAAGAAGUUUAGUAAGAUUCCCCUACGCUACCCUCGCAUUUCCAAACGUACUCCUUUACUUUCCGUCCCAUUAGGCAAACCACCUAUGUUUGAUGGUGAAGAUUAUAAUAUGUGGAGUGAUAGAAUGAGGCAUCAUCUAACCUCACUCCACACUAGCAUUUGGGAUGUUGUUGAGAUUGGAGUACAGGUACCAUCACCAGGGGAUGAAGAUUAUGAUUCGGACGAGGUUGCCCAAAUCCGGCACUUUAACUCUCAAGCCACCACUAUACUCCUCGCCUCUCUAAGUCGAGAGGAGUAUAACAAGGUGCAAGGGUUAAAGAGCGCCAAGGAGAUUUGGGACGUACUCAAGACCGCGCACGAAGGAGAUGAGGUGACCAAGAUCACCAAGCGGGAGACGAUCGAGGGGGAGCUUGGUCGGUUCCGACUCAACCAAGGCGAGGACCCUCAAGCCAUGUACAACCGCUUGAAGACCUUGGUGAACCAAGUGCGCAACCUCGGGAGCACCAAAUGGGAUGACCAUGAAAUGGUCAAGGUUAUUCUAAGAUCCCUCGUUUUUCUUAAUCAUACGCAAGUUCAAUUAAUACGAGGUAAUCCUAGAUAUACACUAAUGUCUCCCGAGGAAGUAAUAGGGAAUUUUGUGAGCUUUGAGUUAAUGAUCAAAGGCUCAAAGAAAAUCAUCGAGCUAGAUGGUCCCUCCACGUCCGAAGCACAACCGGUCGCAUUUAAGGCGACGGAGGAGAAGAAGGAGGAGCCUACAUCAAGUAGACAACCCAUCGACGCCUCUAAGCUCGAUAAUGAGGAGAUGGCGCUCAUCAUCAAGAGCUUCCGCCAAAUCCUCAAGCAAAGAAAGGGGAAAGAUUACAAGCCCUGUUCCAAGAAGGUGUGCUACAAAUGUGGUAAGCCCGGUCAUUUCAUUGCUAAAUGUCCGUUAUCUAGUGAUAGUGACAGGGGCGACGAAAAGAAGGGCAAGAGGAGGGAAAAGAAGAGGUACCACAAGAAGAGGGGCGGCGAUGCCCAUGUGUGCCGCGAGUGGGACUCCGAGGAGAGCUCCUCCAACUCCUCCUCCGACGAGGACGCCGCCAACAUCGCCGUCACCAAGGGACUCCUCUUCCCCAACGUCGGCCACAAGUGCCUCAUGGCAAAGGACGGCAAAAGGAAGAAGGUAAAAUCAAAAUCCUCCACUAAAUAUGAAACCUCUAGUGAUGAGAAUAAUGCUAGUGAUAAGGAGGAUAAUUUGCGUAUUCUUUUUGCCAACCUUAACAUGCAACAAAAAGAAAAAUUGAAUGAAUUAAUUAGUGCCAUUCAUGAGAAGGAUGAACUCUUGGACUCCCAAGAGGACUUCCUAAUUAAGGAAAAUAAGAAGCAUGUUAAGGUUAAGAAUGCUUAUGCUCUAGAAGUAGAAAAAUGUGAAAAACUAUCUAGUGAGCUAAGCACUUGCCAUGACAUUAUUUCCAACCUUAGAAAUGACAAUGCUAGUUUAAUUGCUAAGGUUGAUUCAAAUGUUUGUGAUAUUUCAAUUCCCAAUCUUAGAGACGAUAAUGUUAAUCUACUUGCUAAGAUUGAAGAAUUGAAUGUUUCUCUUGCUAGCCUUAGAAAUGACAAUGAAAAAUUAAUUACUAAGGCUAAAGAAUUAGAUGUUUGCAAUGUUACAAUUUCCAAUCUUAGAAGUGAAAAUGAUAUUUUGCAUGCUAAGAUUGUUGAACUAAAAUCUUGCAAACCCUCUACAUACCGUUGAACAUGUUUCCAUUUGUACUAGAUGUAGAGACAUUAAUAUUGAUGCUAUUCAUGAUCACCUAGCUUUAAUUAAGAAAUAAAAUGAUCACAUAGCUCAACUUAAUGCAAAAAUUAAUGAGCAUGACUUGGAAAAUGAAAAAUUUAAAUUUGCUAGAAGCAUGUUCUAUAGUGGGAGACGCUAUGGCAUCAAGGAUGGCAUUGGCUUCCAAAAGGGGGACAAUGUCAAACUUAGUGCCCCUCCUAAAAGAUUGUCUAACUUUGUAAAGGGCAAGGCUCCCAUGCCUCAGGAUAACGAGGGUUACAUUUUGUAACCUGCCGGUUAUACCGAGAGCAAAAUUAGGAGAAUUCACUCUAGGAAGUCUCACUCUGGCCCUAAUCAUGCUUUUAUGUAUAAGGGUGAGACUUCCAGCUCUAGGCAAUCAACCCGUGCUAAAUUGCCUAAGAAGAAAACUCCUAUUGCAUCAAAUGAUUCUAAAAUUUCAUUUAAAACGUUUGAUGCAUCUUAUGUUUUAACUAACAAAUCCGGCAAGGUAGUUGCCAAAUAUGUUGGGGGCAAGCACAAGGGGUCAAAGACUUGUGUUUGGGUACCCAAUGUUCUUGUAUCUAAUGUCAAAGGACCCAAAACCAUUUGGGUACCUAAAAUCAAGAACUAAACUUGUUUUGUAGGUCUAUGCAUCCGGGGGCUCAAGUUGGAUCAUCGAUAGCGGGUGCACAAACCAUAUGACAGGGGAGAAAAGAUGUUCUCCUCCUAUGAGAAAAACCAAGAUCCCCAAUGAGCUAUCACAGUCGGAGAUGGAAAUCAAGGUUUGGUCAAAGGAUUGGGUAAAAUAGCUAUAUCACCUGACCAUUCCAUUUCAAAUGUUUUCCUCGUAGAUUCUUUAGAUUACAACUUGCUUUCAGUUUCGCAAUUAUGCAAAAUGGGUUACAACUGUCUUUUUACGGAUGUAGGUGUCACUAUCUUUAGAAGAAGUGACGAUUCAAUAGCAUUUAAGGGAGUGUUAGAGGGUCAGCUAUACUUAGUAGAUUUUGAUAGAGCUGAACUCGACACUUGCUUAAUUGCUAAGACAAACAUGGGCUGGCUCUGGCAUCGCCGACUAGCACAUGUUGGGAUGAAGAAUCUUCACAAGCUUCUAAAGGGAGAACACAUUUUGGGACUAACAAAUGUUCAUUUUGAGAAAGACAGGAUUUGUAGCGCAUGUCAGGCAGGGAAGCAAGUUGGUGUUCAUCAUCCACAUAAGAACAUCAUGACGACCGACAGACCACUCGAGCUCCUACACAUGGACCUAUUCGGACAGAUUGCUUACAUAAGCAUCGGCGGGAGUAAGUACUGUCUAGUUAUUGUGGAUGAUUAUUCUCGCUUCACUUGGGUGUUCUUUUUGCAGGAAAAAUCUCAUACCCAAGAGACCUUAAAGGGAUUCUUGAGACGGGCUCAAAACGAGUUCGGCUUAAGGAUCAAGAAAAUAAGAAGCGACAACGGAACAGAGUUCAAGAACUCUCAAAUCGAAGGCUUCCUUGAGGAGGAGGGCAUCAAGCAUGAGUUCUCUCCCCCCUACACGCCACAACAAAAUGGUGUAGUGGAGAGGAAGAAUAGAACUCUAUUGGACAUGGCAAGAACCAUGCUUGAUGAGUACAAGACUUCGGAUCGGUUUUGGGCCGAGGCGGUCAACACCGCAUGCUACGCCAUCAACCGGUUGUAUCUACACCGAAUCCUCAAGAAGACAUCUUAUGAACUCCUAACCGGUAAAAAGCCCAAUGUUUCAUAUUUUAGAGUCUUUGGUAGCAAAUGUUUUAUUCUUGUUAAAAGAGGUAGAAAAUCUAAAUUUGCUCCUAAGACUGUAUAAGGCUUUUUACUAGGAUAUGAUUUAAACACAAGGGCAUAUAGAGUCUUUAACAAGUCCUCAGGACAAGUUGAAGUUUCUUGUGACAUUGCGUUUGAUGAGACUAACGGCUCCCAAGCAGAGCAAGUUGAUCUUAAUGAGCUAGGUGAUGAAGAGGCUCCGUGCGUCGAGCUAAGGAACAUGUCCAUUGGGGAUGUGUGUCCUAAGGAAUCCGAAGAGCCUUCACAAGCACAAGAUCAACCAUCCUUCUCCACACAAGCAUCUCCACCCACUCUAAAUGGGGAUGAGGCUCAAGAUGAUGAAGGAGAAGAUCAAGGAGAUGAGCCACCUCAAGAUGACGGCAAUGAUCAAGGGAGAGAUGCAAAUGAUCAAGACAAGGAGGAUGAAGAACCAAAAAGACUGCCACACCCAAGAGUCCACCAAGCAAUCCAAGGAGAUCACCCUGUCGACACCAUCCUCGGCGACAUUCAUAAGGGGGUAACCACUAGAUCUCGUGUUGCACAUUUUUGUGAACAUUACUCUUUUGUUUCCUAUAUUGAGCCACAUAGGGUAGAGGAAGCACUGCAAGAUUCGGAUUGGGUGAUGGCGAUGCAAGAGGAGCUCAACAAUUUCACUAGGAACGAGGUAUGGCAUUUAGUUCCACGUCCUAAUCAAAAUGUUGUAGGAACCAAGUGGGUCUUCCGCAACAAGCAAGAUGAGCAUGGUGUGGUGACAAGGAACAAAGCCCGACUUGUAGCCAAGGGGUAUUCACAAGUCGAACGUUUGGAUUUCGGUGAAACCUAUGCACCCGUAGCUAGGCUUGAGUCAAUUCGCAUAUUACUUGCCUAUGCUACUUAUCAUGGCUUUAAGCUUUACCAAAUGGAUGUGAAAAGUGCCUUCCUCAAUGGACCAAUCAAGGAAGAGGUCUAUGUUGAGCAACCUCCCGGCUUUGAAGAUAGUGAGUACCCUAACCAUGUAUAUUAACUCUCUAAGGCGCUCUAUGGGCUCAAGCAAGCCCUAAGAGCAUGGUAUGAAUGCCUAAGAGAUUUCCUUAUCACUAAUGGCUUCAAAGUUGGAAAGGCCGAUCCUACUUUAUUUACUAAAACUCUUGACAAUGAUUUGUUUGUAUGCCAAAUUUAUGUUGAUGAUAUUAUAUUUGGGUCUACUAACGAAUCUACAUGUGAGGAAUUUAGUAGGAUCAUGAUAAAGAAAUUCGAGAUGUCUAUGAUGGGGGAGUUGAAGUACUUCUUGGGAUUUCAAGUGAAGCAACUCCAGGAAGGCACCUUUAUUAGCCAAACAAAGUACAUUCAAGACAUUCUAAACAAGUUUGGAAUGAAGGAUGCCAAGCCCAUCAAGACACCCAUGGGAACCAAUGGGCAUCUCGACCUCGACACGGGAGGUAAAUCCGUAGAUCAAAAGGUAUAACGGUCGAUGAUAGGUUCUUUACUCUAUUUAUGUGCAUCUCGACCGGACAUUAUGCUUUCCGCAUGCAUGUGUGCAAGAUUCCAAGCCGACCCUAAGGAAGCUCACCUUACGGCCGUAAAACGAAUCUUGAGAUAUUUAGUUCAUACUCCUAAGUUUGGGCUUUGGUACACUCGGGGAUCCAUAUUUGAUUUAAUUGGUUAUUCGGAUGCCGAUUGGGCGGGGUGUAAAAUUAAUAGAAAGAGCACAUCGGGGACUUGCCAGUUCUUGGGAAGAUCUCUGGUGUCUUGGGCUUCAAAGAAGCAAAAUUCUGUAGCUCUUUCUACCACCGAAGCUGAGUAUAUUGCCGCAGGCCAUUGUUGCGCGCAAUUACUUUGGAUGAGGCAAACUGAGGCAGAACCUCCAAGUUAUUGGGCCCACAUGCACCUGUCCUUGUCCCAAAGACUUCAGACGGCUAUGCAUGUGCACCAGAUAACUUAACAGGAUCUGUCCGAUUGCCCCAAGGACAUCGGAUAAACCACUUUCAACCAGAACCGCGGGAUUAAGUAACACAAAUCACACACACCAAUAUUGUUGCAGCGGAAAUCUUACUACCAAAUUUUACAAGUUACAAAAAUUUUAUAUUAGUUUAUCGGAGUGAUCACAAAAGUAUAAGUUUGAAAUAUAUGCUAGCUCAAGGGAUCAUCCUCAAUAAGAAGUAUAGAAGGGUUACUUAGACUUAUAAGAAGGUCGAGCCCACCGGCACUUAACACCAUCAACAACAGCACAAAGUUAGAACCUGAAAAACAUCAGGGAAUAAAACCCUGAGUAUGGAAUUACUCAGCAAGACUUACCCGACUAAAGAAAAGACUCUCAAGGGUAUGCUGGCUUAAGGGAGUCAAGGUAAGGCUUCUCAAUAAUCAAAGACUCUGUUUUGCAGAAAUGCUUACUAAAAGUGGAUCCUUAAAAAUCCAAUUUUAUUUAUCAAGUUAAGUAAAAUUAUCUACAACUAGAGUUCUUUCUACCCUAGUUCAAUCACUUGACCUGCACUAGCCAAUUUCUUAACAAACCCAUCAUCUUUAGUGGAUUGCUACGUGUAAGUUAGUGACCAAGUCUUCAUAACCGCGAAGGUACGGCGAUCCGAAUCGAUUAUACUCCGCUGAGGAUCUCCAAUCACACGACAUAUAUAGCACUUAACCCUUGCAUAUGUCAACCCGCCACCGGGUUUCUUAAGACCAGAUCAGGUUCACGCGAACCAAGAGCACAGAUACACCACCGUCCAGCCUCUUGCCACGGAGGGUACACGCUACUCUCGCCACCGCUCUACGCCCAUUCCGUGUUAUCUUAUUCUGGCCUUAGUCUGCCCGAGGCAAGGCUUACCCAUGACGAGGCAUGUGACCAGUUAAAGGGUCCCCGGUCAGCAGGCCUACAUCGAGACGGUCCUUAAUCGACUCAGACGGAGACACUACACCGAGACUCCUUUCUCGUGCAAGUCACCCGCCCGGUCUCAGCUUAAUCAUUUCAAACCCAAAGUUUGGUACCUGGCAGAGGUACAUCUUUUCCAAUGUUGAACCCAUCACGGCCAUGAUGGAUCCAUCAUCAAGUUUUAUUUUCGAAAACAUCCCACCCACUUUUGCCACAACAUCUUUUGUAAAAACAAAACCUUUUGUUUUUCUAAAGCAAGGCUAAGCAUCAAAAAUCUUUUGUAAAACGAGUGAUCAAGGAAGGUAAUCAAAUUCAAGGAAGGUAAUGCAGGAAUUGUUUUAUCAAUCAACUCCUGUCACCUAAUGCAUCAAGCAAGUGAGAAAGAUUUUAAAAACAUCAAGGAGGGUGACAAAUGCACCGGGGCUUGCCUGAAUAACACUAGGUUAGUGUUUGUUAGGCGAUGUCCGCUUGACGAGUAUCCUUUGUUCUGAUACUUGUUUCAUAGGUCCAUCAGCAUCACCACGCGGAGUAGCCCGUGCUUGGGGUCGACUUGGCUCAUCUUCCGCAUCACGCGAUUAUUUAUCGUACCUCAUGAGAUGCACGAUGCACAUGUAUGAGCACAUGUAUAACGAGUAUAAUAUAGAUAAUCUACACUAAAAAGGAUGAAACACUUUAAAACCAAGCAUUAAGCACCAUGGAUAUCACAACAGAGCAUCGACUACAUCCAUUAACCAAAUUGACAUAUUACACUAGAAAUCUAUUUUUAUUCCUAGCUUUUUAUUAACUCUUUAAACUAUGUAUCUUAAUUACUUGAGUUACCGAUUUAUCUAAAUCGAUCAUCACAAUAUACGCAUGCUAAAUUAAUAACAUUUAUUGAGACCAAAUAAUUCUAUUUACUCUAUUUAUAGACCUAGUUAACGGGAAUACGAAUCAACUUACCCUGACUAAUUUGACGCGAUAGUCGCAAGCACGACGAUAGUUCCGGUUGAUGCCAUC